UAAAAAACGACGACAGAAGAGUAACUGAGUUAACUAGUCCAGAGAAUCAACGGUGGUGCGAGUUGAUCUAGUCCUUGGCGAAACACAUCUGUAAGUUGAAUGAUUGAAUCAAGUAGGUCAUUUCGGUAGCACCGUUAAAGCUGAAGUUAUUGUAACUUCGUGAGCCUAAUAUCGUGAGGUAUUGGGAACCAGAGGUGGAACCGCGAAUAUUCGCCCUCUUA
RNAcentral lists this non-coding RNA (221 nucleotides) under Companilactobacillus farciminis. Its description in RNAcentral is "Lactobacillus farciminis T-box sequence". It matches the Rfam family "T-box leader". Rfam says of the family: Uncharged tRNA acts as the effector for transcription antitermination of genes in the T-box leader family. T-boxes are found upstream of many aminoacyl-tRNA synthetase genes and some amino acid biosynthetic genes usually in Gram-positive bacteria. The anticodon of a specific tRNA base pairs to a specifier sequence within the T-box motif, and the NCCA acceptor tail of the tRNA base pairs to a conserved bulge in the T-box antiterminator hairpin. Lineage: Bacteria; Bacillati; Bacillota; Bacilli; Lactobacillales; Lactobacillaceae. The record is from RNAcentral.